AACGCACCUUGCGCCUUUUGGUAUUCCGAAAGGCAUGCCUGUUUGAGUGUCAUGAAAUCUCAACCCCUCGGGUUUUUGACCCGUUGGGCUUGGACUUGGGUGUCUGCCACUGGCUGGCUCGCCUCAAAUGACUUGGUGGGAUAAGCGCCCAUGGCUGAGACGUGAUAAGUUUCGUCUGGCUUGGUGGUGAGGCCUGCUUCACAACACCCUUAAAUAUUAUUGACUCUGACCUCAAAUCAGGUAGGGCUACCCGCUGAACUUAA
Molecule: unclassified non-coding RNA, 263 nt
Filed under: uncultured fungus
Lineage: Eukaryota; Fungi
Description: sequence contains ITS2
Rfam family: 5.8S ribosomal RNA (bases 1-52)
Source: RNAcentral